This 378-nucleotide unclassified non-coding RNA is filed under the name uncultured Rickettsiales bacterium. RNAcentral's name for it is "contains 16S-23S intergenic spacer region". The record is from RNAcentral. Lineage: Bacteria; Pseudomonadati; Pseudomonadota; Alphaproteobacteria; Rickettsiales.
UCCGGCUUAUCACCGGCAGUUUCCUUAGAGUGCUCAACUAAAUGGUGGCAACUAAGGAUGAGGGUUGCGCUCGUUGCGGGACUUAACCCAACAUCUCACGACACGAGCUGACGACAGCCAUGCAGCACCUGUGUGGGACCCAGCCGAACUGAAGGAAAGCAUUUCUGCGAUCCGAAAUCCCCAUGUCAAGGCCUGGUAAGGUUCUUCGCGUUGCCUCGAAUUAAACCACAUGCUCCACCGCUUGUGCGGGUCCCCGUCAAUUCCUUUGAGUUUUAAUCUUGCGACCGUACUCCCCAGGCGGAGUGCUUAAUGCGUUAGCUUCGCCACUGAACCCUACGGGCCCAACGGCUAGCACUCAUCGUUUACAGCGUGGACUAC